CCAGCCCGGAGUUCGGAGUUGUCCGUCUGCUGAGAAGUAAGAUCGUUUGCGACAAAAUUGUCUCAUUAACUGUCAAUUUAUGUUUUUGUUUCACAAUCAGAUAAUAAUCAAGACAUCUAUGUGACUUGAAAGAAAUAUCCCGAAAUUAAUGGUAAUUGUGAUAGAAACGAAAGCGGAAGUAAUAAAAAGUGGAAAUCCCGAUGAUCACCCUACUCAUCGAAGGUGGAGACAGCGCAAUGGAACCAGUCUUUACUUGAGAAUUGCAAACGUUUAGAAGGGCGAAGUCAAAGGUCAAGUUGAUAUAACACCAGAAAUCAGACGAGGUGACACGGACAAACAACUUAACUUUGUCAGCGGAACAGUGCAUCUUCCCUAAGAUGAUUGAGAUAGGUCAAGUCAAAGAUCAAGUGUUAAUGUAACACCAGGUAACUGCUCCUUGAGACAGCCCAGUGAAACAAGUCGACCUUGUCAGUGGAGUAGUCAAACUUCUCUGGGGAAUUCAUAAAAAUACAAGUCGAAGAGCAUUGUCGGACA
Molecule: long non-coding RNA, 534 nt
Organism: Pecten maximus
Lineage: Eukaryota; Metazoa; Mollusca; Bivalvia; Pectinida; Pectinidae
Exons: 3
Source: RefSeq, a predicted model, not a curated record